GAUCCUGGCUCAGGACGAACGCUGGCGGCGUGCCUAAUACAUGCAAGUAGAACGCUGAAGGAAGGAGCUUGCUCUUUCCGGAUGAGUUGCGAACGGGUGAGUAACGCGUAGGUAACCUGCCUGGUAGCGGGGGAUAACUAUUGGAAACGAUAGCUAAUACCGCAUAACAGUAGAUAUCGCAUGAUAACUACUUGAAAGGUGCAAUUGCACCACUACCAGAUGGACCUGCGUUGUAUUAG
This 239-nucleotide ribosomal RNA is filed under the name uncultured bacterium. Its description in RNAcentral is "partial 16S ribosomal RNA". It matches the Rfam family "Bacterial small subunit ribosomal RNA", at positions 15 to 244 of the family's 1533-position model. The record is from RNAcentral.